AUGCACCAUCAAAUAAUCAAAAGUCGGAUAUACCGAACAUGUCAUCAUACAUCAAAUAAGCAUAUAAAUAUGCACACGGAAGCUGAUACAGCAUCGUCUAUGCCAUAUAAAAGCAUAUACAUCAACAAAAUAAUCAUGUCAUAUUAUAAACAUAAUCCACAUAAUUAUCAGGAUAAACAAGUAUGCUAUCCUAAUCAAAACAACAAAAGCGCUCAUCCCGAGUGUUAUGCUAUCAAAGCAGAGCGACUCAAAAAGUAA
Non-coding RNA from Vicia faba (fava bean), 258 nucleotides. NCBI's taxonomy places the organism in Eukaryota, Viridiplantae, Streptophyta, Magnoliopsida, Fabales, Fabaceae. The record is from the annotation of a GenBank genome assembly.